GUUGAGAGGAUUAAAUGAAAUAAUUACUUCCAGUUCUGCUUCCUACCAAGAUGCUGACAAAGUAAAAUGACUGGCUCCCUCCCACAAGAUCAACUUCAGAGGAGCUACAGAGGGGAAAAGAACCCCGCCAAGUUACCUGGUAAACACCAAAUACUGAAAAAACAGAAAAGUCUGCGGCAGUGCAGCUGUCUGAACUGUUGUCUGUGAGAGGAUGGGUAUAGCCUGGGGCCGGAGGCAAUGGAGGACAAAACAGGAAAGAAACUGGUAGAGUUUGGCUUUUGCUUCUCCCCUGCCAUUCUCUUCGGACAAACUGUGCCUGUUCCUAUAGAGCAGCAACAAAGAUCUCCAGGACAUACAGAGAGAAAAAUACAAACAGAUAUUUGAAGGUAAGGCGAACACAGAGACAUGGGUGCCUGGAGGCAGAGAAAGAUUUAUUCAAAUUGGCCAAAACAAGAAGGAGGAGGAUAGGUUCUCUCAAAUCCACCUUCACAAGAGAGGAAGAGGACAUCCACACAACACAAAAGAGGUCUGAGAGACCCACACAGCCAUCCACUGGAAGGUGAAGGUUCUGGAGCCACCCCCCCUGAGGAAGUGGAAUGAGCAAUAACAGGCUGUGAAUUUUCUCGCCUCAGGAGAGGUACAGGACAGGCAGGAGGGCAGAGUCAGCCUGCCAAACUUUUACCUGUUUUUGUGGCCCACACACCUGAGCUAAGCGAGGAUCACACGACGUUCAGGAGGACGCAGGGGCCCUGGAGGAGCAGGGGCAGGAGAGGCUCCCCCGUCGGAGGUCCACGAGGGCCGGAGCUGUGCUGAGAAUCUACGCGGGAAGCAAACACCGCUCCAUGGUGGAGCCCGAGGAGGG
This 862-nucleotide long non-coding RNA is filed under the name Equus caballus (horse). RNAcentral's name for it is "lncRNA (ENSECAG00000040616.2)". The record is from RNAcentral. Lineage: Eukaryota; Metazoa; Chordata; Mammalia; Perissodactyla; Equidae.